GAUGAACGCUGGCGGCGUGCCUAACACAUGCAAGUCGAGCGGUAUAUACUUAAACAAAUCUUCGGAAGAGUGAGAGUAUAGAGAGCGGCGGACGGGUGAGUAACGCGUAGGCAACCUGCCCCAUACAGAGGGAUAGCCUCGGGAAACCGGGAUUAAAACCUCAUAACGCGAGAGAGUCACAUGGCUUUUUCGCCAAAGAUUUAUCGGUGUGGGAUGGGCCUGCGUCUGAUUAGCUAGUUGGUGGGGUAACGGCCUACCAAGGCAACGAUCAGUAGCCGACCUGAGAGGGUAAUCGGCCACAUUGGAACUGAGACACGGUCCAAACUCCUACGGGAGUCAGCAGUGGGAAUAUUGCACAAUGGGCGAAAGCCUGAUGCAGCAACGCCGCGUGAGCGAUGAAGGCCUUUGGGUCGUAAAGCUCUGUCCUUGGGGAAGAAUAAAUGACGGUACCCUUGGAGGAAGCCCCGGCUAACUUCGUGCCAGCAGCCGCCGUAA
This 495-nucleotide ribosomal RNA is filed under the name uncultured bacterium. Its description in RNAcentral is "partial 16S ribosomal RNA". It matches the Rfam family "Bacterial small subunit ribosomal RNA", at positions 28 to 523 of the family's 1533-position model. The record is from RNAcentral.